This is a long non-coding RNA of Limulus polyphemus (Atlantic horseshoe crab), 2450 nucleotides long. RefSeq lists it as uncharacterized. The record is from RefSeq and is a predicted model, not a curated record. The transcript has 2 exons. NCBI's taxonomy places the organism in Eukaryota, Metazoa, Arthropoda, Merostomata, Xiphosura, Limulidae.
AUUGGCUAGCAACGAAUGCCACGACGAAUGUUUUAAAUGGCUGGCGUUAGGGUUAGUGUAUUUUAGGUUUGAGGCAGCUAAACUAUAGGGGAACCUCACCUUGAAACUAGAAAUCAUAGUAGAAUGAAAUAAGAUGGAAUAAGUUUGCAUGAGACUGAAAUGACACUAAAAGAACAUGGUCUUUUAUUUAAAGUUGUGGUUUUCAUCAAACUCUGAGAAGUUUUACUAGACUACACUUGUCUUGAAAAAACUAGAAGUUUUACUCGAGAAGACAAAGUUCUUGAAGCAAGAGAGAGAGAGAAAUUUUACUGGAGGCUACAUGAGAACUUUUAUCAGAGACUAGACCACAACCAUUUUAAAAAAAAACAAAACAUUUUUACUAGAGAUUGUUUAGUUCAUGAAGAAACCAGUGGUGUACUGAAUAUUUAAAUUCACAUUGAAAAAUAAUAAUUAGAAGAGCCAUUUAAGUAAUUUUGUUUUAUAAAAUAUUUUAAGAAAAAAUAUUAGUUUGGUUUUAGCUAGAGGUUUCAGAAAGGAUUUGCUUUGAAGAGUUUUUUUUCUUCUUCAACUAAUUCUUCCUCUUAAGUAAUUUAACAGAACUUUUGAUUAUACCAAAGUGUCUUUAAGGGUAUAUUUUUUCAACAAAUUAUUUUCAUCAGGUCAAAGAAUAUUUUCUAAGAGUUUGAAGCUUCAAAGUAAAUUAAAUUAAUAGUAGUAAAAGUUACUUAGCUUAUGAACUGCCUUUAGUGUCAUUGUGUUACAUAGUUUAUACUUUUAACUGAUAAAUAUAGUCAUGCUACCUGUGUGUAAAACACUAAAUCACACACUGAGGUUCUUUUUUUCUUUGGCAUGGGAGUCUCGGAUCCGUCUACCGGUGCUCCUGGCCAUUUGUUUUAUGGUAUUAGAUGUCCGUAUGCAAUUAGAGAUUAAUGUAAACAUAAUGCAGUAGUUGAAAAUGUGUACAUCAUGUGGAAGAAAGCAUUUUGAUACUAUUUUAUUACAACUAUUACUUAAAGUGAUGUUUUGACUGUUGAAAGUUUAAGACAAUCGGUGUUUAUAAUUUCAAUGCACAUUGACUUGGUGUGAAACAUUAACAUGAUAAUGUUACUUCUAUUUUUUAAAUCUUGUUUAUUUGAAGCAAAAACAAAGCAUAAACUGAUGUACAAAAUACUUCCUUGCCUUUCAUGAAAUGUAUGAAUAAACAAUUGGAUUGGACUUUACUGAGCUUUCAAUCCACAAAAACGAUGUAACGUUAUGGUUUUAAAGUGAUUGGAGCAGGUUAUAUACAAUUAAUUAUUUCUUGGGUGCAUGUGAAUGUUUUUAAAUUGAUAAUGUUGUCCCCCCCCCCCAUUUAUUUACUAACUGAAGAUUUAUGGAACAUAACAAAUACUUAAUUGAGCAGUACUUUUCUGAGUAAUCUGUUAAACUAAAGUCUUGGUCAUCAGGUGAGUUUUUUGCCCCCUUCCCUGCCACAUUAAAACUAAUUUUGUGUUUCAUAUGACCUGUUAAUAGGUUCUUAACAUAUUUAGAUGAGCAAUUUCCAUUGUGGUAAAAAAGGAAUCAAGUACAGAAUGUAAGAUAAAUUUGUUAUGAUAACGUUUUAAUUAGUAGUUCACCAUUUUAAUAUAAUUAUAUAUAGAAUGAUACAAAGUCAUGCACCACUAUGAUUUUCCCUAACACCUGUUUUAUAUGAGUAAAAUUGAUAUCACAACACACUGUUGCAAAAGUGCCACUUCCACUCAUUUUGGAAAUCGUAACAAUAUCCAAACCAGUUACUGUAAGAAAAGAAAAAGAAACUUAGAAAUAUUAUAUUUAGGAUGAGAAUUGAAAAUAUGAUUGUGGUAAUGAUGCAUGACUUUUACAUCGCCCUGUAUAAUGUAAAAAUGAAUUAAAAUAUUCAAAGAAUACAAAAAAUGUGAGUUUUAUGUGGCUACUAAUAUACUCUAAAUGAUGUUGUAAUAUGUAUAUGAGAUUUGACACUUUUAGUAAUUUGUACAAUUUUAUUACAUAGGAAAAACAUGAUAUAUGCUUAGCUUUAUCUGAUAGCAUAUCCAAAAUAUUACUUAGCUCUAUUCUACCUUCCAUUUGGCUCAUGAAAUCAUUUUAAUUCUUAGAAGGUAUGUGAAUGUGUUAGCCUUGACUGAGGGAAAUCUGACCUUAGAAAGUUAGUCUGUCAUGUAUAGCUUCUAUUUUAUUGGCCAAAUAAUUUCUUAGAAAAGUUGCAGAAUAUGUAGUCUUAGUUAAUUAAGGAAAUUAAAACUUAAGUAUAUAUAAGUAACAUCCAAAAUAAUUUCAUUAUUUAAAAUAAUUGAAAAAAAGAAACUUAUUAGGGGAAAAAUUAAACCUUGGAAAAUAUUUAUUAUUUGUGAGUUUGACUUCGCUUUGGUGGUAAGAUAACUUAGUAAUAAAAUUGUAAAAUCUUGCUGAUAAAUAAAAUUGCUCUACCACCA